Motacilla alba alba is the source of this 571-nucleotide long non-coding RNA. RefSeq lists it as uncharacterized. Lineage: Eukaryota; Metazoa; Chordata; Aves; Passeriformes; Motacillidae. The transcript is spliced from 5 exons. The record is from RefSeq and is a predicted model, not a curated record.
CUCAGUGUUACACACCCUCCCAACCCCUGAGGGCAUCAGGCUUGGGAAUCACACAGACAGUGGGUGAGCAUAACAACAGCAGAAGGAAGGAGAAGAUGCACGAAAUACUCUGUGACAAAUUUCAAGACAUCUGGCAUUUCAGAUGGACAGUGUGGAUAAUCUAGACAUAUUUUGAUCAUUGGAAAGAUCUCUGUGCUUUGGAAAUAAGAAGAUGGAACACAGCUCAUAGGAUAGCUCUUAAAAUUUUAGAAAUAAUUCUGUGGAAGUUUCUGUUUCUCUACUAACAAAGGAAGACCACAGAACAAAGUUUCCUAGCCUGGAGGAAAAGGAGACUUCGGCGAAGAUAUUUGGAAUCAUUAGCUUCUUUCUCAUUUCCCUCCUCCUGUUGCUGCUCGGUGUGCUUGGGGCUGAAGGACGGGCUGUGGUACACCUGAACCAUGGGGGAACACAGACUCUGACAAGAUCCUCUGGCUGAAGAAAAAGAAGGCUGUGACUGGAAAGGAUCAGAUGCGACCACAAUUGAGCAUAGAACAAAAAUCCAAAGCUUCAUCUUGUCCAGCAGAUUCUAUUA